Lathyrus oleraceus (garden pea) is the source of this 788-nucleotide long non-coding RNA. RefSeq lists it as uncharacterized. The record is from RefSeq and is a predicted model, not a curated record. The transcript has 2 exons. NCBI's taxonomy places the organism in Eukaryota, Viridiplantae, Streptophyta, Magnoliopsida, Fabales, Fabaceae.
UUCCUGGACGCACCCUGUUCUUUUUAAUAAAAAAUAUACAAUAUAUUCCAUCGAUUAUUUUGAAAAUUGAGGGGUAAACCUAUUUAAUGUAGAUGUUUCGAAUCCCAUCCGUCUCAGUUUAUAUUUUUAUCUCAUUAAAAGUGGCGUCUUCUUGAAUAUUUUAUUUUUAAUCUAAAAGUACGCUACUUUUCACCUCGGUUUUCUUUCCAACCGAGGUGAAUAUGUUUCUCUGAUAUAUAUAGCUUUAGCUUGUAGGCUCCAAUUUUCAUUUGUCUAAACAACAAAAGUAGAAUCCUAACGAAGAGGCAUAAACACAUAUCACCUUAAAUACGAAGAUGUUAUGUGUUUAGUGCUCUCGUUUCUUCUUCAAAUAUCCAGAUCAUUUUCUUUUACUUCUUCUUUAGAGAUCUGGCAUUACGUGCCUCGAGUAAGAUGGUCUGUAAGGUGGCGAUACAUGACUACCUUCCGCAAUAUCUCCUCUCUCAAUGGCAUUUAUCACAACAUGUGUAAUACACUAACAACCAGCAACAGGUCUGCUGUGCGGUCAUCCUUAGCUCUCUCUUAUUCCAAUAUCUCUUGAUGGGCAGGUCUUGGUGGUGUUCUCACGGUAUCUAGUAUCAUGUAAGGAUGUGACACUCGAUAGAACCAUUGUAUGUAGCACUGUUCAUAAGCACAUGGUUCAUUUGAUGGAACACUGCAUGCCUCAUCUGUAAGGGUGGACUCAGUUCGUUUUGGACCAGUUUUCGAUAAAAAAAAAGUUUGAACCGAUAAUACAUCGGUUUGAUUUA